RNAcentral lists this long non-coding RNA (1776 nucleotides) under Gorilla gorilla gorilla (western lowland gorilla). Its description in RNAcentral is "lncRNA (ENSGGOG00000044330.1)". Lineage: Eukaryota; Metazoa; Chordata; Mammalia; Primates; Hominidae. The record is from RNAcentral.
UGAAUUAUAAUUUUUGUUGGUUGGGAAAAAGACACACAUACGUGACAGUGCAUCACUUCACCUCAUCAUUUCAUUUCAUCUCAUCAUUUUAUCUCAUCAUUUCAUCUUAUCCCAUCUCAUCUCAUCAUUUCAUAUCAUCUCAUCAUUUCAUCUCAUCAUUUCAUCAAAUCUCAUCUCAUCUCAUUUCCAUUUCAUUUUCAUUAUUUCAUUUCAUCAUUUCAUUUCACUAUUUCAUUUCAUCUAAUUUCAUUUAUUUCAUUAUGUCAUUUCAUAUAUUUCAUUUCAUGUCAUGUUUUUGAUAUCAUUUUUCAUAUCAUUUUUCAUCUCAUCAUCUCAUCUCAUCUCAUCAUUUCAUCUCAUCUCAUCAUUUCCUCCUUUCUUUUCAACAUUUCAUCUCAUUUCUUCUCAUCUCAUUUUAAUUUUAUUUCAUUAUUUCAUCUCAUUUCAUUAUUUCACCUAAUUUCAUUAUUUCAUCACAUCUCAUCUCAUCUCAUCAUUUCCUCCUUUCUUUUCAACAUUUCAUCUCAUUUCUUCUCAUCUCAUUUUAAUUUUAUUUCAUUAUUUCAUCUCAUUUCAUUAUUUCACCUAAUUUCAUUAUUUCGUCUCAUCUCAUCUCAUCUCAAUUCGUCUCAUCUCAUCACAUCAUUUUUCAUCUCAUCAUUUUUCAUCUCAUCAUUUAAUCUCAUUUCAUUUCAUUUCAUCUCAUCAUUUCAGCUCAUCAUUUCAUGUCACAUCAUUUCAUUUCAACAUUUCAUUUCAUCUCAUCAUUUCAUCUCAUCUCAUCUUCCAAUUUCAUUUCAAUAUCAUCAAUUCAUCAUUUCAUCCCAUCAUUUCAUCUCAUCAUUUUUCAUCUCAUCAUCUCAUCAUUUCAUCAUUUCUUCAUCUCAUUUCUUCUCAUUUCAUCUCAUUUCAAUUUCAUUUCAUUAUUUCAUUUCAUUUCACUUCAUUUCAUUUCAUCUCAUCAUUUUAUCUCAUCUCAUUUCAUCAAAUCAUUUCUUCUCAUCUCAUCUCAUUUCAUCAUUUCAUCUCGUUUCACCUCAUUUCAUCUCAUCUCACCUCAUCUCAUCAUUUCAUCUCAUCAUUUCAUCUCAUUCUUUCAUUUCAUCUCAUCGUUUCAUCUCCUCAUUUCAUCUCAUCUCACCUCAGCAUUUCAUCAUUUCAUCUCAUCAUUUAUUUCAUCUCAUUUCAUCUCAUAUCUCAGUUCAAUUUCCUUUCAUUAUUUCAUUUCAUCUCAUUUCAUUACAUCUCAUCAUUUCCUCUCAUCAUUACAUCUCAUCUCAUCAUUUCAUCUCAUCAUUGCAUCUCAUCAUUUCAUCUCAUCAUUCAUCUCGUCAUUUCAUCUCAUCAUUUCCAUUUCAUUUCCAUUUCAUUAUUUCAUUUCAUCAUUUAAUUUCAUCAUCUCAUUUAAUUUCACCUCAUUUCAUUAUUUCAUUUCAUUUUUUCAUUUCAUUAUGUCAUUUCAUUUCAUCUCAUUACAUUUCAUCUAAUUUCAUUUCACCUCAUUUCAUCUCAUCAUUUCUUCUCUUUUCAUCUCAUUUCAUCUCAUCAUUUCAUCUCAUAUCUCAAUUCAAUUUCCUUUCAUUAUUUCAUCUCAUUCAUUUCAUCUCAUUUCAUUACAUCUCAUCAUUUCCUCUCAUCAUUACAUCUCAUCUCAUCUCAUCAUUUCAUCAUUUCAUCUCAUCAUUGCAUCUCAUCAUUUCAUCUCAUUUCAUCUCAUCAUUCAUCUCGUCAUUUCAUCUCAUCAUUUCCAUUUCAUUAUUUCAUUUCAUCAUUUAA